Molecule: ribosomal RNA, 573 nt
Filed under: uncultured Pyronemataceae
Lineage: Eukaryota; Fungi; Ascomycota; Pezizomycetes; Pezizales; Pyronemataceae
Description: eukaryotic LSU rRNA
Rfam family: 5.8S ribosomal RNA (bases 216-369)
Source: RNAcentral
GGAAGUAAAAGUCGUAACAAGGUUUCCGUAGGUGAACCUGCGGAAGGAUCAUUAAAAGUAAUAUAUAUUUAUUCGAAUAUACAUUUCAAACCCCUUGUCUAAACUACCUGUUGCUUCCGGCUGUUUGGGCUGUACAGUUAGCUGAAUAGUCUGGCUGGAAGGUUAACAUAAAAUAUUGUAUUUAUAGUCUUCUGAAUUUUUAAAAUAAAAGUUAAAACUUUCAACAACGGAUCUCUUGGUUCUCGCAUCGAUGAAGAACGCAGCGAAAUGCGAUAAGUAGUGUGAAUUGCAGAAUUCAGUGAAUCAUCGAAUCUUUGAACGCACAUUGCGCCUUCCGGUAUUCCGGGAGGCAUGCCUGUCCGAGCGUCAUCAAAAACCACUCAAGUAGUUUUGCUUGGUCAUGAAAGAAGAGUUUGCUUGCGAAUUCCCUUUCGAAAUUCAAUGGCGGAGAGUCUCAUGAUUCCGGCGUAGUAAUAACUUAUUCGCUUGGUCAUUGUAACAAUCCUGCCUCAAACCCCCAAUUCUAGUGUUUGACCUCGGAUCAGGUAGGGAUACCCGCUGAACUUAAGCAUA